UGAAGCCUACGGGGCGCAGCAGUGAGGAAUAUUGGUCAAUGGGCGGAAGCCUGAACCAGCCAAGUCGCGUGAGGGAAUAAGGCCCUACGGGUCGUAAACCUCUUUUGCCGGGGAGCAAGGGCCGGGACGCGUCCCGGCCCGGAGAGUACCCGGAGAAAAAGCAUCGGCUAACUCCGUGCCAGCAGCCGCGGUAAUACGGAGGAUGCGAGCGUUAUCCGGAUUUAUUGGGUUUAAAGGGUGCGUAGGCGGGCUUUUAAGUCAGCGGUCAAAAUUCG
RNAcentral lists this ribosomal RNA (275 nucleotides) under uncultured bacterium. RNAcentral's name for it is "partial 16S ribosomal RNA". It matches the Rfam family "Bacterial small subunit ribosomal RNA", at positions 333 to 604 of the family's 1533-position model. The record is from RNAcentral.